RNAcentral lists this ribosomal RNA (230 nucleotides) under uncultured Actinomycetales bacterium. RNAcentral's name for it is "partial 16S ribosomal RNA". It matches the Rfam family "Bacterial small subunit ribosomal RNA", at positions 103 to 334 of the family's 1533-position model. The record is from RNAcentral. Lineage: Bacteria; Bacillati; Actinomycetota; Actinomycetes; Actinomycetales.
CGGGUGAGUAACACGUGAGUAACCUGCCCUUGACUUUGGGAUAACUCCAGGAAACUGGGGCUAAUACCGGAUAGGAGCUCCUGCUGCAUGGUGGGGGUUGGAAAGUUUCGGCGGUUGGGGAUGGACUCGCGGCUUAUCAGCUUGUUGGUGGGGUAGUGGCUUACCAAGGCGGCGACGGGUAGCCGGCCUGAGAGGGUGGACGGCCACAUUGGGACUGAGAUACGGCCCAG